GAUGAAGAACGUAGCGAAAUGCGAUAAGUAAUGCGAAUUGCAGAUCUCCGUGAGUCAUUGAAUCUUUGAACGCACAUUGCGCCCUCGGGUAUUCCCGAGGGCAUGCCUGUCCGAGCGUCAUUAUCCAACCAUCAUGCUCGGCUUGCGGUUGAGCCCCGCACCGUCCCCGGGACGGUGGGCUCGAAACAUGUUGGGCGCCCGUGAGGUUGUCGGUGCAGCGAGCUCUCGAGCACGUGCCGGGCAACCGCUCUGGGCGUCGGCCAGCCCCCCCAUUUUCUCAGGUUGACCUCGGAUCAGGUAGGAAUACCCGCUGAACUUAAGCAUAUCAAUAAGCGGAGGA
Molecule: unclassified non-coding RNA, 340 nt
Filed under: soil metagenome
Description: partial contains 5.8S ribosomal RNA, internal transcribed spacer 2, and large subunit ribosomal RNA
Rfam family: 5.8S ribosomal RNA (bases 1-120)
Source: RNAcentral